CAGCAGUGGGGAAUAUUGCACAAUGGGCGCAAGCCUGAUGCAGCCAUGCCGCGUGUAUGAAGAAGGCCUUCGGGUUGUAAAGUACUUUCAGCAGUGAGGAAGGUGGGUAUGUUAAUAGCAUACUCAUUUGACCGUUUAGCUGCAGAAGAAGCACCGGCUAACUCCGUGCCCAGCAGCCGCGGUAAUACGGAGGGUGCGAGCGGUUAAUCGGAAUUACUGGGCGUAAAGCGCAUGCAGGUGGUUUGUUAAGUCAGAUGUGAAAGCCCGGGGCUCAACCUCGGAAUUGCAUUUGAAACUGGCAAACUAGAGUACUGUAGAGGGGGUAGAAUUUCAGGUGUAGCGGUGAAAUGCGUAGAGAUCUGAAGGAAUACCGGUGGCGAAGGCGGCCCCCUGGACAGAUACUGACACUCAGAUGCGAAAGCGUGGGGAGCAAACAGGAUUAGAUACCCUGGUAG
This 455-nucleotide ribosomal RNA is filed under the name uncultured bacterium. Its description in RNAcentral is "bacterial SSU rRNA". It matches the Rfam family "Bacterial small subunit ribosomal RNA", at positions 349 to 793 of the family's 1533-position model. The record is from RNAcentral.